CCUACGGGAGGCAGCAGUAGGGAAUUUUCGUCAAUGGGCGCAAGCCUGAACGAGCGAUGCCGCGUGAGUGAAGAAGGCCUUCGGGUCGUAAAGCUCUGUUGCGGGGGAAAAAAGGCAGCAUCAGGAAAUGGGUGCUGACUGAUGGUGCCCCGCCAGAAAGUCACGGCUAACUACGUGCCAGCAGCCGCGGUAAUACGUAGGUGGCGAGCGUUAUCCGGAAGGAUUGGGCGUAAAGGGUGCGCAGGCGGGCCUGCAAGUCUGGAGUGAAACGCAUGAGCUCAACUCAUGCAUGGCUUUGGAAACUGGAGGACUGGAGAGCAGGAGAGGGCGGUGGAACUCCAUGUGUAGCGGUAAAAUGCGUAGAUAUAUGGAAGAACACCAGUGGCGAAGGCGGCCGCCUGGCCUGUUGCUGACGCUGAGGCACGAAAGCGUGGGGAGCAAAUAGGAUUAGAUACCCCUGUAGUC
This 465-nucleotide ribosomal RNA is filed under the name uncultured bacterium. Its description in RNAcentral is "partial 16S ribosomal RNA". It matches the Rfam family "Bacterial small subunit ribosomal RNA", at positions 338 to 795 of the family's 1533-position model. The record is from RNAcentral.